Molecule: ribosomal RNA, 467 nt
Filed under: uncultured bacterium
Lineage: Bacteria
Description: partial 16S ribosomal RNA
Rfam family: Bacterial small subunit ribosomal RNA
Source: RNAcentral
GACGAACGCUGGCGGCGUGCUUAACACAUGCAAGUCGAACGGAAAGGCCUCUUUCGGGGGGUACUCGAGUGGCGAACGGGUGAGUAACACGUGAGUAACCUGCCCUUGACUUUGGGAUAACUUCAGGAAACUGGGGCUAAUACCGGAUAGGAGCUCCUGCUGCAUGGUGGGGGUUGGAAAGUUUCGGCGGUUGGGGAUGGACUCGCGGCUUAUCAGCUUGUUGGUGGGGUAGUGGCUUACCAAGGCUUUGACGGGUAGCCGGCCUGGGAGGGUGACCGGCCACAUUGGGACUGAGAAACGGCCCAGACUCCUACGGGGGGCAGCAGUGGGGAAUAUUGCACAAUGGGUGGAAGCCUGAUGCAGCAACGCCGUGUGCGGGAUGACGGCCUUCGGGUUGUAAACCGCUUUCGCUCAUGACGAAGCUUUGUGUGACGGUAGUGGGUAAAGAAGCACCGGCUAACUACGUG